Molecule: ribosomal RNA, 157 nt
Filed under: Penicillium citrinum
Lineage: Eukaryota; Fungi; Ascomycota; Eurotiomycetes; Eurotiales; Aspergillaceae
Description: 5.8S ribosomal RNA
Rfam family: 5.8S ribosomal RNA
About the family: 5.8S ribosomal RNA (5.8S rRNA) is a component of the large subunit of the eukaryotic ribosome.
Source: RNAcentral
CAACAACGGAUCUCUUGGUUCCGGCAUCGAUGAAGAACGCAGCGAAAUGCGAUAACUAAUGUGAAUUGCAGAAUUCAGUGAAUCAUCGAGUCUUAAAAAAAACAUUGCGCCCUCUGGUAUUCCGGAGGGCAUGCCUGUCCGAGCGUCAUUGCUGCCC